GGGGAAUAUUGCACAAUGGGCGAAAGCCUGAUGCAGCGACGCCGCGUGGGGGAUGAUGGCCUUCGGGUUGUAAACCUCUUUCAGUAGGGAAGAAGCGAAAGUGACGGUACCUGCAGAAGAAGCGCCGGCUAACUACGUGCCAGCAGCCGCGGUAAUACGUAGGGCGCAAGCGUUGUCCGGAAUUAUUGGGCGUAAAGAGCUUGUAGGUGGCUUGUCGCGUCUGCCGUGAAAACCCGAGGCUCAACCUCGGGCGUGCGGUGGGUACGGGCAGGCUAGAGUGUGGUAGGGGAGACUGGAACUCCUGGUGUAGCGGUGAUAUGCGCAGAUAUCAGGAAGAACACCGAUGGCGAAGGCAGGUCUCUGGGCCAUUACUGACACUGAGAAGCGAAAGCAUGGGGAGCGAACAGGAUUAGAUACCCUGGUAGUCCAUGCCGUAAACGUUGGGCACUAGGUGUGGGGAACAUUCCGCGUUUUCCGCGCCGUAGCUAACGCAUUAAGUGCCCCGCCUGGGGAGUACGGCCGCAAGGCUA
Molecule: ribosomal RNA, 530 nt
Filed under: uncultured bacterium
Lineage: Bacteria
Description: bacterial SSU rRNA
Rfam family: Bacterial small subunit ribosomal RNA
Source: RNAcentral